UACGUAGGGGGCGAGCGUUGUCCGGAAUGAUUGGGCGUAAAGGGCGCGUAGGCGGCCUAUCAAGUCAGUAGUGGAAGUCCAGCUUUCAAGGUUGGAAGUGCUAUUGAAACUGAGGGGCUUGAGUGCAGGAGAGGUUAUCGGAAUUCCCGGUGUAGCGGUGAAAUGCGUAGAGAUCGGGAGGAACACCAGUGGCGAAGGCGGGUAACUGGACUGCAACUGACGCUGAUGCGCGAAAGUGUGGGGAGCAAACAGGAUUAGAUACCCGGGUA
Molecule: ribosomal RNA, 269 nt
Filed under: uncultured prokaryote
Description: partial 16S ribosomal RNA
Rfam family: Bacterial small subunit ribosomal RNA
Source: RNAcentral